GACGAACGCUGGCGGCGUGCUUAACACAUGCAAGUCGAACGGAAAGGCCCUGCUUGCUGGGUACUCGAGUGGCGAACGGGUGAGUAACACGUGGGUGAUCUGCCCUGCACUUCGGGAUAAGCUUGGGAAACUGGGUCUAAUACCGGAUAGGAGCCAUCUUUAGUGUGGUGGUUGGAAAGUUUUUUCGGUGUAGGAUGAGCUCGCGGCCUAUCAGCUUGUUGGUGGGGUAAUGGCCUACCAAGGCGGCGACGGGUAGCCGGCCUGAGAGGGUGUACGGCCACAUUGGGACUGAGAUACGGCCCAGACUCCUACGGGAGGCAGCAGUGGGGAAUAUUGCACAAUGGGCGCAAGCCUGAGGCAGCGACGCCGCGUGGGGGAUGAAGGCCUUCGGGUUGUAAACUCCUUUCGCUAGGGACGAAGCUUUGUUGUGACGGUACCUAGAGAAGAAGCACCGGCUAACUACGUG
RNAcentral lists this ribosomal RNA (466 nucleotides) under uncultured bacterium. RNAcentral describes it as "partial 16S ribosomal RNA". It matches the Rfam family "Bacterial small subunit ribosomal RNA", at positions 28 to 507 of the family's 1533-position model. The record is from RNAcentral.